This 794-nucleotide long non-coding RNA is filed under the name Mytilus galloprovincialis (Mediterranean mussel). The record is from RNAcentral. Lineage: Eukaryota; Metazoa; Mollusca; Bivalvia; Mytilida; Mytilidae.
GCGUUCUCAAAAAUUCCGGAUAAAAUGUCAAUGCAUCCGGAGUCAAAACAUUUAAUGUAAGCCGUUUGACAUUCGAUUUCAACUAUUAGAUUAAGAUAUGUGAUGACGCAAAUGCGUAUUCUUUUCCUGAGUAUCAGUGAGAUGCUUUCUAUUUACUAUUUCGUGCGCUAAAAUACUACUUGCAUGCAAAACUAUUAAAUUCAGUCGUGGAAGCUUAUUUUCGUUUUUGUUAUCUAAAUUCAGGACACGGCAGAAAGAGCUUUACAUGUGACUUUCAAGCACGGUCAUCAUUACUAACGGUAUUCUGACCUCGAGUUGUUUCUCUUUUGUUUCUUUUUUGAGUCACUGUCCUAUUAUAAACUUUGACCUUUUCAAAAAGCUGAGGAUUGUCUACCCAAGGAAUAGAUUCCUUAACUUUGUAAUGUAUUUAGCCUUUUAAUUUUUUUCAUUCGAGCGUUACUGAUGCUUUUUUUGUAGACUUAACUCGUGUCUGGCGUUUUUUAUAUCUACAUACCUUUUUAUAUAAAUUGGUUAUUUUGAAAGUGUGUACAGGUAUUCAUAAACUUCUGAAUUAAGAAAUUCUUUGGCAAAACUAAGUUUCUCUGUAUAAUGUUUGAAUUGAUUUAAGUAAAAUCAGGAAAUCCUUAAAAUUUGAGAUGUUUUAUGAGACCAAAAUAAGUCUCUUCAUAAGAGGUCCCAAUCAAUUGCAUGCCACAGGUUUAACCGCAUACAACAUCUAUACCAUGAGUAAAGACAGCUUCAAAUACGAGUUGAGAAUAUAAAGGCAUUCAUUU